Long non-coding RNA from Varroa destructor (honeybee mite), 1233 nucleotides. Lineage: Eukaryota; Metazoa; Arthropoda; Arachnida; Mesostigmata; Varroidae. The record is from RefSeq and is a predicted model, not a curated record.
UUUCACUCGAUUUCAGAUGAUGAUAUGGUUGUUGCCAUUGGCUUCUACCUUCGUGUGUGAUUCUCUCGAGGCCAAACGAUCUACAUGCGCAGCCGAUGCUGGCGCCGUAAUCGCCGCUGACUUCCCAAGAAGCAGAACAACAGCUUGAACGACCACGAGGAGCCCCUUGGACAGAAUCGCCGGCGCCGGUAGCGUGGAAGAAAGCUCCCAUUGAGCAGGCCUAUGCUGCGAAAGCAAAUCAACUAUAAAACUUUGGUGACCGAAACAACGAUUUAUAAAAUUAGUCACCCUUGACUGUUUAUUAUGCAAGUUAUUUUUACGCGUACGUCGAUAUAGAAUGCCACGUGUCUUUGGCAAGACGGGGGGCAGACCAAAGAGCACACAAUCAACUGACCCAUUGGGAUGAGUUUCAUUCGCAAAGGUAAGCUGUUUUAUUAUAUCAGCUAUGCAAGCAGUACAGAACACUCGAAAUAGAAACAGCUAAAUAACAUUGAAGAAAAAGACAAGCACGGAUCACUUAAGCUACUUGCUGCUGCACCCCUUUGAAAUGAUUCACUUUCAUACCGUUUGUGAUAUUUAGAGUAAUUGUAUAAAAUGUGUGAAGCCUUGGAUAUCUAGUUGGAAUUUCGUGAUGAGGCCUAGUAUACUUAGUAGACUUUAACGAACUUCGUACCGUUUGGAUUUGUAUACUAGUCUAAUUAGCAAUAGACGUUGGACGUCUGAUCCAAAUACCUUGGAACUCUAUAACUCAUUCUAUAUAUUCAAUGGUUUUAGUUAACACUGAUAGAUAGCUGAUUGCAAGAUCAUCUUCUGUUAUCUUUUUCAUGUCGACCGUGAAUCUUCACGUAUGUAGUUCUAUUCUAAAGCACGCUCUUUUUCUACACAUACUUCUGACGAUAUUUAUAACUUUGUACACAACAAACCUAAACUACAUUCGAAUUCUGAAAUUAAGAUAAUUUCAAUAAAGUCAAAAUAAGUCAAUAAAGAAUUACCCGAGUUUUUCUUUUUAACAACACAGUCCACUGUAAUAGACUGAGCAAAAAUGAUUUAUCAUCAUCGUUAUGAUAACAAUAACAAUUGUUCAUUAAAGAAAAGUCUAUUUUCCGCCCACAUUUUCGUUCUCAGCAUCUCUUGCCCUGUUGCUCUGUCUCAGCUCACUGUCGCUACACUCCCGUAUUCGGGUAGCUUGUUGUUGUUGUUGUUGUUGUUGUUGUUGUUGUUGUUGUUGUUGUU